Sinocyclocheilus anshuiensis is the source of this 236-nucleotide long non-coding RNA. RefSeq lists it as uncharacterized. The transcript is spliced from 3 exons. The record is from RefSeq and is a predicted model, not a curated record. Lineage: Eukaryota; Metazoa; Chordata; Actinopteri; Cypriniformes; Cyprinidae.
GAAAAAGGCUACAUCACAAUGUAAAGCUGUCCCCAUGCUCUUCUGCUGUGAACCUCACCUUUAUUACAUGUGACGCGUAUGUGGCAGUGCAGGCAGUGUGUUGCAAAGGAGAGUUGUAGAUUGAUAGGGAGUUCUUGCGGAUUUCUACUGUACCACUGCUUUCUACGUUCUUCGCUGAGCCUGACGUCAACACGAUUGAUUGAGAUCUUCAGUAGAAAAGGCGGGCAAUCCGGAAA